AGUUGUCUUGUUUGUUUGUUUUCUUUCAGCAUUUCAAAUAUGUCAUCUUGGCCACUGCUUUCUGGCCUCUAUCGUUUUUGAUGGGAAGUCAGCUGCUAAUGUUGCUGGGGUUACCUUGUGCAUGGCCCUCAGAACAUUGCCUUUAAGGGCUUCGAGGUGAAGAUACAUUAGAUUAGAAAUAUAGCAGAGAGGGACCCUGAAGCACUUUAAGAAAGCUUGGUCUGCAGGAAAUCCUCAUCUUGGCUCCAAUCAUCAGAAAAGUUGAUCUCUACCAGAGGUGAGAAAUUGCUGUUGAAGCCACACUGCUUAUGAGGACUCAGCAGGUGUCCUGAGAAAUCACCCGGUUGUAACUGUAACAACUUUGUAAGGUAAAUACUUUUCUUAAGCUUUUAAAAUCUGGGAAAUGCACAAAACCAUCUUUAAAAUAAUUAUUGCUGGAUUUUCUUUAUGAGAAGAAUAAAGCUAAUUCACAUUUUUUUCAGCCUAAUUUCCUUGAUUCAUAUUUGGCAAUAAGAGCUAUUACCAUUUAUGAGAUUUUUAUAUCACAUUUUAUAUAACAUACACAAAAUGCAUAUAUAUGUACAUAUAUAUGAAUAUACACACAUUUACCACUAAAUAUUGAAAAGUGUUAUCAAAGCCUUCAUCUGCCUAGAUUACCAAGUAGAAAGUGUGACCACUUUUUGAAAAAUGUGAAUACACUAAAUCAUUUAACUGUCUUGGUGUCCCAGAAAGUAGAAUCAGGAUAGUCCAAAGUGUGUAAAUGUUAAAUUGUGUGAAGCAUUUUGGUUCUAAGUUUUAGUUACGAAAGAGGCUAUUUCACAGUUGGCCUACUUCCUAAAGGAAGGCACAGUGAUGUUUUAUUAAGUAAUGGAAUAUAGUUUGUCUCUUCAUUCAUUUACUUGUAAGAAAUAUGGCAGGGAGAAACUUGAAACUAGGGCUUAAAGAGAGACAAGUACCAGGCAUGAGAAAUGCGGCUCCCUUAAAGAGAAAGUAAAUAUUCUAGGAGGCAAUCCUUUUCGAAGAUGAGCCAAUCAGAGUUGGUUUUGCUAAAUGGAGAGGCUACAGAGUAGGAGCUCCUGACUUCUCAAUUUCAUAUUAAAAAAUUCUGCUGUUCACCUUUCUUGAACUCAAUUCCCUAACAAGCAAUCUGACAUUAAAUCUUCAUUCUUUAGAAAUUUUAAUAUUUGGAAAGUGUGUGAAGUAGGUCAUCAAAAAAUGUAAAAAGCAAUUCUCAAGUUAUGGUACUCUGUUGCAUUUUGGUUUGGAUAGAAUUCUGUUCUUUUUAAUGAGUUGUUUGAUGAUCUCCCUGAAACUGAGAAUACUUGAAUUCUGAGAUACUACACAGAAAUAUGACUGAAAAAGUAACUGAUGAUCUUCAAGUAGAUCAACUUUUGAAAGUGUAUCAAUCACUGGCGUUAAAUUGUUUGUCUCUUUUAUGAGGAAGGGAAAGGACUAGAUUUUUAUAAGGUUUAUAUUUAGCUUCUUGACUAACUGUAACACACCUGAAAAUAAGGACAUGUUUAUGACAUCUUACUGUGUUUUGUCUACUGUGUGAAAAACUCUCAUUGAGGAAUUUUGAAUUGAGAUAGUAAUGCACUAAAAAAGACUUAACAUGGGCUUUGGAUAAGUGCUGUUCCUUUGAAAGAGUCCAGCUUCAUAAGAAAGUAUUAAAAAUCUGCAUUGAUAAGAUAACUUUUGAAGUUUUAAAUUGAAUCUCAUAAGGAAUCUCUUAAAUGAUCUUCAUUCCAGGUUCAUGACUGGUGAGUACGAGUGAAGGGAGGACUUCUUUUCUAUUUCCUUCAAACCCUAAAAUUUUUCAAUUUUUUUCUUGUAAUUUCUGAUUAAUGGCACUCUUGAUUUUGAUUUAUAUUAUCCUAUUAUUCACUUUAUGGGAGAAGAAGAAGUCACUUUUUUCAAUUUAAUUUUAAAAAUUAGGGCUAGCAGUGAUGAAGUUUAAAAUCAAAUUAUCUUGUCAGAGUGACAGAUAAAUCUCUAGAGUUUCUAAUGAGAUUUUCCACUGGCAGGAUGCUGAAUUUCUCCCUUUCCCAGACUUCUUCAUUCCAGGUUUUGACAGGGAAUGACAAUGAGCUUCUGUGUUUUGAAAUACAGUGCUAUUUGAGGUAUUUUGGUCCUUAUUUAGAAAUUGUGGGGGAGGGGUUGCUUCUUUGUUCUAGGUUAAAGGGGAAAAAGAAAUGUCAAAUGGGUACAUCUUUUACUAUGGAAAGUUGCAAGCAAUUGUCAUAUACCUAAAUUUGAUUAAGUAUAGUAGAUUCACCAAUUUCUACCCUUGCCUUUACAUGUUACUGUUCUUAAAGGAAUUUUUACCGUAGUGAUUAUGUAAAUAUAACACGAUAUUCUUACUAUGCUGCUAUCUGACCUUUUUUUCCCCCAUUUUCUCAUUACCCUAAAUAAAAUUUGAACUCUGAAACACUUUCACAGUAUUAGGUAGAACUCCAUAGUUCUAUAUGCAGUUAACAAUUCUGUCUUAUGUAAUCAUGGAAUUAGAGAUUCUGUUUCUAGUAGGAAAAAAAAAAAAAAAAAAAAAAAAC
Long non-coding RNA from Sapajus apella (tufted capuchin), 2549 nucleotides. RefSeq lists it as uncharacterized. The transcript has 3 exons. Lineage: Eukaryota; Metazoa; Chordata; Mammalia; Primates; Cebidae. The record is from RefSeq and is a predicted model, not a curated record.